Molecule: ribosomal RNA, 687 nt
Filed under: uncultured bacterium
Lineage: Bacteria
Description: bacterial SSU rRNA
Rfam family: Bacterial small subunit ribosomal RNA
Source: RNAcentral
GGUGAGUAAUACGUAGGAAUCUGCCCAAUAGUGGGGGACAACUUAGGGAAACUUAAGCUAAUACCGCAUAAGCACUAUGGUGGAAAGCAGGGGAUCGUAAGACCUUGCGCUAAUGGAGGAGCCUACGUCUGAUUAGCUAGUUGGUGGGGUAAUGGCCUACCAAGGCGACGAUCAGUAGCUGGUUUGAGAGAACGACCAGCCACACUGGGACUGAGACACGGCCCAGACUCCUACGGGAGGCAGCAGUGGGGAAUAUUGGACAAUGGGGGCAACCCUGAUCCAGCAAUGCCGCGUGUGUGAAGAAGGCCUUCGGGUUGUAAAGCACUUUCGAUUGGGAAGAAAAGCGCCGGGCGAAUAAUCCGGCGUCUUGACGUUACCAAGAGAAGAAGCACCGGCUAACUCUGUGCCAGCAGCCGCGGUAAUACAGAGGGUGCAAGCGUUAAUCGGAGUUACUGGGCGUAAAGGGCGCGUAGGUGGUUUGGUAAGUCGGAUGUGAAAUCCCCGGGCUCAACCUGGGAACUGCAUUCGAAACUGCCUGGCUAGAGUUUGGUAGAGGGAAGUGGAAUUCCACAUGUAGCGGUGAAAUGCGUAGAGAUGUGGAGGAACACCAGUGGCGAAGGCGUCUUCCUGGACCAAAACUGACACUGAGGCGCGAAAGCGUGGGGAGCAAACAGGAUUAGAUACCCU